This 440-nucleotide ribosomal RNA is filed under the name uncultured bacterium. RNAcentral describes it as "bacterial SSU rRNA". It matches the Rfam family "Bacterial small subunit ribosomal RNA", at positions 30 to 473 of the family's 1533-position model. The record is from RNAcentral.
CCUGAACGCUGGCGGCGUGGCUAAGACAUGCAAGUCGCACGGAGGUAGCAAUACCUUAGUGGCGAACGGGUGAGUAAUGAAUCGCUAAUGUGCCCCGGACUCUGGGAUAGCUGCCCGAAAGGGCAGGUAAUACCAGAUGAUAUAACCGAACCGCAUGGUUUGGUUCUCAAAGGUCCGCCGGUCUGGGAGCAGGCGAUUUCGUAUCAGCUAGUUGGUGAGGUAACGGCUCACCAAGGCGACGACGCGUAGCCGGACUGAGAGGUUGGCCGGCCACAUUGGGACUGAGACACUGCCCAGACUCCUACGGGGGGCUGCAGUAACGAAUCUUCCGCAAUGCACGAAAGUGUGACGGAGCGACGCCGCGUGUAGGACGAAGCCCCUUGGGGUGUAAACUACUGUCGAGGGGAAAGAAAGUUCUGAUCUACCCCAGAGGAAGGGAC